GCAGUGGUGGUUCAGUGGUAGAAUUCUUACCUUCCAUGUAGGAGACCCGGGUUGAAUUCUCAGCCAAGACG
This 71-nucleotide transfer RNA is filed under the name Loxodonta africana (African savanna elephant). It matches the Rfam family "tRNA". Rfam says of the family: Transfer RNA (tRNA) molecules are approximately 80 nucleotides in length. Their secondary structure includes four short double-helical elements and three loops (D, anti-codon, and T loops). Further hydrogen bonds mediate the characteristic L-shaped molecular structure. tRNAs have two regions of fundamental functional importance: the anti-codon, which is responsible for specific mRNA codon recognition, and the 3' end, to which the tRNAs corresponding amino acid is attached (by aminoacyl-tRNA synthetases). tRNAs cope with the degeneracy of the genetic code in two manners: having more than one tRNA (with a specific anti-codon) for a particular amino acid; and 'wobble' base-pairing, i.e. permitting non-standard base-pairing at the 3rd anti-codon position. The record is from Rfam by way of RNAcentral. Lineage: Eukaryota; Metazoa; Chordata; Mammalia; Proboscidea; Elephantidae.